Molecule: ribosomal RNA, 253 nt
Filed under: uncultured bacterium
Lineage: Bacteria
Description: partial 16S ribosomal RNA
Rfam family: Bacterial small subunit ribosomal RNA
Source: RNAcentral
UACGUAGGCAGCAAGCGUUGUUCGGAAUUACUGGGCGUAAAGAGUGCGUAGGCGGUUAGGUAAGUCCGUUGUGAAAUCUCCCGGCUCAACUGGGAGGGUGCAGCGGAAACUGCCUGGCUAGAGUGUGGGAGAGGGAAGUGGAAUUCCUGGUGUAGCGGUGAAAUGCGUAAAUAUCAGGAGGAACACCUGCGGUGUAGACGGCUUCCUGGACCACUACUGACGCUGAGGCACGAAAGCGUGGGGAGCAAACAGG